This 459-nucleotide ribosomal RNA is filed under the name uncultured bacterium. RNAcentral's name for it is "partial 16S ribosomal RNA". It matches the Rfam family "Bacterial small subunit ribosomal RNA", at positions 28 to 523 of the family's 1533-position model. The record is from RNAcentral.
GAUGAACGCUGGCGGCGUGCCUAAUACAUGCAAGUCGAGCGGUAAGGCUUCUUCGGAAGUACACGAGCGGCGGACGGCUGAGUAAUGCAUAGGAACGUACCCCAAACUGAGGGAUAAGCCACCGAAAGGUGGUCUAAUACCGCAUGUGCUCUUCGGAGUAAAGCUACGGCGGUUUGGGAGCGGCCUAUGUUCGAUUAGCUUGUUGGUGAGGUAAUGGCUCACCAAGGCGACGAUCGAUAGCGGGUCUGAGAGGAUGAUCCGCCAGACUGGAACUGAGACACGGUCCAGACUCCUACGGGAGGCAGCAGUAGGGAAUUUUCCACAAUGGGGGCAACCCUGAUGGAGCAACGCCGCGUGCAGGAUGAAGGCCUUCGGGUUGUAAACUGCUUUUCUCUGUGAUGAUUAUGACAGUAGCAGAGGAAUAAGGAUCGGCUAACUCCGUGCCAGCCGCCGCAGUAA